RNAcentral lists this ribosomal RNA (620 nucleotides) under uncultured bacterium. Its description in RNAcentral is "bacterial SSU rRNA". It matches the Rfam family "Bacterial small subunit ribosomal RNA", at positions 505 to 1200 of the family's 1533-position model. The record is from RNAcentral.
GUGCCAGCAGCCGCGGUGAUACGGAGGGUGCAAGCGUUAAUCGGAAUUACUGGGCGUAAAGCGCACGCAGGCGGUUUGUUAAGUCAGAUGUGAAAUCCCCGGGCUCAACCUGGGAACUGCAUCUGAUACUGGCAAGCUUGAGUCUCGUAGAGGGGGGUAGAAUUCCAGGUGUAGCGGUGAAAUGCGUAGAGAUCUGGAGGAAUACCGGUGGCGAAGGCGGCCCCCUGGACGAAGACUGACGCUCAGGUGCGAAAGCGUGGGGAGCAAACAGGAUUAGAUACCCUGGUAGUCCACGCCGUAAACGAUGUCGACUUGGAGGUUGUGGCUUCCGGAGCUAACGCGUUAAGUCGACCGCCUGGGGAGUACGGCCGCAAGGUUAAAACUCAAAUGAAUUGACGGGGGCCCGCACAAGCGGUGGAGCAUGUGGUUUAAUUCGAUGCAACGCGAAGAACCUUACCUGGUCUUGACAUCCAGGUGCUGCAUGGCUGUCGUCAGCUCGUGUUGUGAAAUGUUGGGUUAAGUCCCGCAACGAGCGCAACCCUUAUCCUUUGUUGCAACUCAAAGGAGACUGCCAGUGAUAAACUGGAGGAAGUGGGGGAUGACGUCAAGUCAUCAUGGCC